Molecule: ribosomal RNA, 1476 nt
Filed under: uncultured Bordetella sp.
Lineage: Bacteria; Pseudomonadati; Pseudomonadota; Betaproteobacteria; Burkholderiales; Alcaligenaceae
Description: partial 16S-23S ribosomal RNA intergenic spacer
Rfam family: Bacterial small subunit ribosomal RNA
Source: RNAcentral
AAAUGAUUCUGGCUCAGACAACGCUGGCGGGAUGCUUUACACAUGCAAGUCGAACGGCAGCACGGACUUCGGUCUGCGGCGAGAGUGGCGAACGGGUGAGUAAUGUAUCGGAACGUGCCUAGUAGCGGGGGAUAACUACGCGAAAGCGUAGCCAAUACCGCAUAUUGCCCUUCGGGGGAAAGCGGGGACCUUCGGGCCUCGCACUAUUAGAGCGGCCGGAUAUCGGAUUAGCUAGUUGCGGGGUAACGGCUCACCAAGGCGACGAUCCGUAGCUGGUUUGAGAGGACGACAGCCACACUGGGACUGAGACACGGCCCAGACUCCUACGGAGUGCAGCAGUGGGAAUUUUGACAAUGGGGGGAAACCCUGAUCCAGCCAUCUCGCGUGCGAUGAAGGCCUUCGGGUUGUAAAGCACUUUUGGCAGGAAAGAAACGGCACGGGAUAAUACCCCGUGCAACUGACGGUACCUGCAGAAUAAGCACCGGCUAACUACGUGCCAGCAGCCGCGGUAAUACUGUAGGCAAGCGUUAAUCGGAAUUACUGCCAUGUAAAGCGUGCGCAGGCGGUUCGAAGAAAGAUGAAAUCCCAGAGCUAACUUUGGAACUGCAUUUUUAACUACUGAGCUAGAGUGUGUCAGAGGGAGUGUGGAAUUCCGCGUGUAGCAGUGAAAUGCGUAGAUAUGCGGAGGAACACCGAUGGCGAAGGCAGCCUCCUGGGAUAACACUGACGCUCGCACGAAAGCGUGGGAGCAAACAGGAUUAGAUACCCCAGUAGUCCACGCCCUAAAAACGAUGUCAACUAGCUGUUGGGGCCUUCGGGCCUUGUGUAGCGCAGCUAACGCGUGAAGUUGACCGCCUGGGGAGUACGGUCGCAAGAUUAAACUCAAAGGAAUUGACGGGGACUCCGCACAAGCGGUGGAUGAUGUGGAUUAAUUCGAUGCAACGCGAAAAAAACCUUACCUACCCUUGACAUGUCUGGAAUCCCGAAGAGAUUUGGGAGUGCCUGCAAGAGAACCGGAACACAGGUGCUGCAUGGCUGUCGUCAGCUCGUGUCAGAGACGUUGGGUUAAGUCCCGCAACGAGCGCAACUCCCUUGUCAUUAGUUGCUACGAAAGGGCAUUCUAUCGAGACUGCCGGUGACAAACCGGAGGAAGGUGGGGAUGACGUCAAGUCCUCAUGGUCCAGUGUGCUUCACACGUCAUACAAUGGUCGGGACAGAGGGUCGCCAACCCGCGAGGGGGGAGCUGCCAAUCCCAGAAACCCGAUCGUAGUCCGGAUCGCAGUCUGCAACUCGGACUGCGUGUCGGAAUCGCUAGUAAUCGCGGAUCAGCAUGUCGCGGUGAAUACGUUCCGUCUUGCAUUGAAUACCGCCCGUCACACCAUGGGAGUGGGUUUUACCAGAAGUAGUUAGGCCUAACCGUAAGGAGGGCGAUUACCACGGUAGGAUUCAUGACUGGGUGAAGUCGUAACAAGGUAA